This 301-nucleotide ribosomal RNA is filed under the name uncultured bacterium. Its description in RNAcentral is "partial 16S ribosomal RNA". It matches the Rfam family "Bacterial small subunit ribosomal RNA", at positions 509 to 809 of the family's 1533-position model. The record is from RNAcentral.
CAGUAGCCGCGGUAAUACGAAGGGGGCUAGCGUUGUUCGGAUUUACUGGGCGUAAAGCGCACGUAGGCGGACUUUUAAGUCAGGGGUGAAAUCCCGGGGCUCAACCCCGGAACUGCCUUUGAUACUGGAAGUCUUGAGUAUGGUAGAGGUGAGUGGAAUUCCGAGUGUAGAGGUGAAAUUCGUAGAUAUUCGGAGGAACACCAGUGGCGAAGGCGGCUCACUGGACCAUUACUGACGCUGAGGUGCGAAAGCGUGGGGAGCAAACAGGAUUAGAUACCCGGGUAGUCCCUGUCUCUUAUAU